This 428-nucleotide ribosomal RNA is filed under the name uncultured bacterium. RNAcentral describes it as "bacterial SSU rRNA". It matches the Rfam family "Bacterial small subunit ribosomal RNA", at positions 355 to 776 of the family's 1533-position model. The record is from RNAcentral.
UCGAGAAUCAUUCACAAUGGGCGAAAGCCUGAUGGUGUGACGCCGCGUGGAGGAUGACGGUCUUCGGAUUGUAAACUCCUGUCAAGUGAGAGUAAGGUUGCGCGUUAACUGCGUCGCAAUUUGAGAGUAUCACUAGAGGAAGAGACGGCUAACUCUGUGCCAGCAGCCGCGGUAAUACAGAGGUCUCAAGCGUUGUUCGGAAUCACUGGGCGUAAAGGGUGCGUAGGCUGUGUUGUAAGUCAGAGGUGAAAUCCCGGGGCUCAACCCCGGAACUGCCUCCGAUACUGCAAGACUUGAGGACUGGAGAGGAGAUUGGAAUUCAUGGUGGAGCAGUGAAAUGCGUAGAUAUCAUGAGGAACGCUAGUGGCGUAGGCGAAUCUCUGGACAGUUCCUGACGCUGAGGCACGAAGGCCAGGGGAGUAAACGGG